RNAcentral lists this ribosomal RNA (403 nucleotides) under uncultured bacterium. Its description in RNAcentral is "partial 16S ribosomal RNA". It matches the Rfam family "Bacterial small subunit ribosomal RNA", at positions 355 to 769 of the family's 1533-position model. The record is from RNAcentral.
UGGGGAAUAUUGCACAAUGGGUGCAAGCCUGAUGCAGCAACGCCGCGUGAGGGAUGACGGCCUUCGGGUUGUAAACCUCUUUUAGCAGGGAAGAAGCGAAAGUGACGGUACCUGCAGAAAAAGCGCCGGCUAACUACGUGCCAGCAGCCGCGGUAAUACGUAGGGCGCAAGCGUUAUCCGGAAUUAUUGGGGCGUAAAGAGCUCGUAGGCGGUUUGUCGCGUCUGCUGUGAAAUCCCGAGGCUCAACCUCGGGUCUGCAGUGGGUACGGGCAGACUAGAGUGCGGUAGGGGAGAUUGGAAUUCCUGGUGUAGCGGUGGAAUGCGCAGAUAUCAGGAGGAACACCGAUGGCGAAGGCAGAUCUCUGGGCCGUAACUGACGCUGAGGAGCGAAAGGGUGGGGAGC